UUUAGAAGUCGCUUCCCCCGUAACAGGCGUCUAAAUAAAAUAAAAAAUUAUUUUUUAUUAACUUUUUCGCUUAGUUUUGGCGUCUAUUUUGGGGAGCCAACGUAUAUGGGGAGUUAUAUACGUCGGUUAUGAAGGCCCUAACGUCUAUAAUAUUAUAGACGUCGAGUUCCCUCUUAACUGACGUCUAUAUUGACAACUCAUUUACGAAAGUGUCACUAGUCAUUAAUUUACGUCGAACCCCCGC
Molecule: long non-coding RNA, 244 nt
Filed under: Vigna radiata
Lineage: Eukaryota; Viridiplantae; Streptophyta; Magnoliopsida; Fabales; Fabaceae
Description: long non-coding RNA (VRAD_LNC007957)
Source: RNAcentral